RNAcentral lists this unclassified non-coding RNA (380 nucleotides) under soil metagenome. RNAcentral describes it as "partial contains 5.8S ribosomal RNA, internal transcribed spacer 2, and large subunit ribosomal RNA". The stretch from base 1 to 120 matches the Rfam family "5.8S ribosomal RNA", at positions 35 to 154 of the family's 154-position model. The record is from RNAcentral.
GAUGAAGAAAGCAGCGAAAUGCGAUAAGUAAUGUGAAUUGCAGAAUUCAGUGAAUCAUCGAAUCUUUGAACGCACCUUGCACCCUUUGGCAUUCUGAAGGGUAUGCUCGUUUGAGUGUCAUUGUACUCUCACACUCCCGAUCUUUGCAUUGGGAGCAGUGGACUUGGGUUUGCUGCUUCACCGUCGCUUACCUCAAAUAGGUUAGUGCAACUCUUGGUUGGACAUAGUACGGCGUGAUAAGUGUUCUUCGCCGGUGCCUCGCAAAGAGGGUGGCCGAUCGGGAUGUUGUGCUCCAAACCGUCUUCGGACAAUCUCUGACGACUUGACCUCAAAUCGAGUAAGACUACCCGCUGAACUUAAGCAUAUCAAUAAGCGGAGGA